This 1307-nucleotide ribosomal RNA is filed under the name uncultured bacterium. Its description in RNAcentral is "bacterial SSU rRNA". It matches the Rfam family "Bacterial small subunit ribosomal RNA", at positions 28 to 1381 of the family's 1533-position model. The record is from RNAcentral.
AACGUACGCUGGCGGCACGCCUAACACAUGCAAGUCGAAACGAAGUAGCAAUACUUAGUGGCAGACGGGUGAGUAACAUGUAGGUAUCUGCCCUUUGGCCUGGAAUAACACGAGGAAACUUGUGCUAAUACCGGAUAAGUCUUUACGGAGAAAGCUUUAUGCACCAUUGGAUGAGCCUGCACUUGAUUAGUUUGUUGGUGGGGUAAUGGCCUACCAAGACUGUGAUCAAUAGCUGAUUUGAGAGGAUGAUCAGCCACAUUGGGACUGAGACACGGCCCAAACUCCUACGGGAGGCAGCAGUGGGGAAUCUUGCACAAUGGAGGAAACUCUGAUGCAGCGAUGCCGCGUGAGUGAAGAAGGCCCUUGGGUUGUAAAGCUCUUUCGUCGGGGAAGAAAAUGACUGUACCCGAAUAAGAAGGUCCGGCUAACUUCGUGCCAGCAGCCGCGGUAAUACGAAGGGACCUAGCGUAGUUCGGAAUUACUGGGCUUAAAGAGUUCGUAGGUGGUUGAAAAAGUUAGUGGUGAAAUCCCAGAGCUUAACUCUGGAACUGCCAUUAAAACUUUUCAGCUAGAGUAUGAUAGAGGAAAGCAGAAUUUCUAGUGUAGAGGUGAAAUUCGUAGAUAUUAGAAAGAAUACCAAUUGCGAAGGCAGCUUUCUGGAUCAUUACUGACACUGAGGAACGAAAGCAUGGGUAGCGAAGAGGAUUAGAUACCCUCGUAGUCCAUGCCGUAAACGAUGUGUGUUAGACGUUGGAAAUUUAUUUUCAGUGUCGCAGGGAAACCGAUAAACACACCGCCUGGGGAGUACGACCGCAAGGUUAAAACUCAAAUGAAUUGACGGGGACCCGCACAAGUAGUGGAGCAUGUGGUUUAAUUCGAAGAUACGCGCAGAACCUUACCAACACUUGACAUGUUCGUCGCGACUCUAAGAGAUUAGAGUUUUCGGUUCGGCCGGACGAAACACAGGUGCUGCAUGGCUGUCGUCAGCUCGUGUCGUGAGAUGUUGGGUUAAGUCCCGCAACGAGCGCAACCCUCACUUUUAGUUGCCAUCAUUAAGUUGGGCACUCUGAAAGAACUGCCAGUGAUAAGCUGGAGGAAGGUGGGGAUGACGUCAAGUCCUCAUGGCCCUUACGUGUUGGGCUACACACGUGCUACAAUGGUAUCUACAACAGGAAGCAAGACUGCGAAGUUAAGCAAAUCCCUAAAAGAUACCUCAGUUCGGAUUGCACUCUGCAACUCGAGUGCAUGAAGCUGGAAUUACUAGUAAUCGUGGAUCAGCGUGCCACGGUGAAUGCGUUCCCGGGUCU